RNA transcript from Chelonia mydas (Green sea turtle), 3647 nucleotides. It is a transcript of the gene named transmembrane protein 123, with no coding region annotated. The record is from RefSeq and is a predicted model, not a curated record. Lineage: Eukaryota; Metazoa; Chordata; Testudines; Cheloniidae. The transcript is spliced from 6 exons.
CGCCAGCUCCACCACGUGAGCUCCCUGCCGCCGGGCCCCGCUCUCCGCCUGGCUGCUCGCAGAGAGGCGCGGAGUUGGGGCGGGCGCAGCCGGCCAGCAUCAGGUAGCAGCAGCGCUCGGCCCUCGCCUCCUGCCCUGGGGGCUGUCUAGGGCUAGGCACGGGGCAGACCCCCUCCCCCCUUCCCUCCCAGGACCAUGAGACGCUCCGCGGGGGCUGCCAGCCUUUUGCACGCUGCGGCGCUGCUGCUGCUGUUCGCCGCCUCCUGUCUCGCCGCGGUCGGGACUACAAGUACAUCCAUUCCAACCACAAUCGCACAAUCCACUUCAAAUACUUCAGCAUGUGGUAAAGAUGUCACUCUCACAACUAUUUCAGGUUCUACCAAAACAACCACCACCCAGACAACCACCACCCAGACAACCACCACCCAGACAACCACCACCCAGACAACUACAUCAGCCACCGUCUCAAAACCCACAACAACCAUACAAUCGACAGCCAGUGUCACAGUGACCACUUCCAAGACUAUGUCUCCUUCCAGCUCUGUAACAGCCACGCCAAAAUCUGCAGCUGUGCUAUCCAGAACCUCCAGAUUUGAUGUGGGCAGUUUUUUCGGUGGCAUUGUGCUGACACUUGGAAUGCUAGCCAUUCUCUAUGUUGGGUGUAAAACAUAUCACUCGAGAAGAGGUGUUCAGUACAGAACCAUGUAAGUUUUUUGGAGGCGUGUUCCCCUGUUAAUUUGUUGGUUUCUUGUUGGAAAUGAAGAGAAGAAAAUGCUCUACUUUCUUGUUCAAUGCAGAUUUUUUUUAAAAAGGCAGUGAUGAACAUGAUGCUAUCAUUUAAAGAUACUUCAGAGAAGACAGUGGGGAAAUUCCACCCGAUCACUGCUUUUAGAACGUCUAUUUGAAAAAGUUUUUUUCCUUUCAUAAAGAUAGUCCCAAUCUCUAAUGCAUCCAUAGAUCUGAUCCUGCACAGUGUCAAGAUCUUCCCAAGCACCGUGAGCUCCCAUUUAUUGCAAUGGGAGCUGGAGGAAGUUAGCACUUUGCAGAAACAUGCCCUGUUGUUGAUGCAAUUAAAAAAAAAUCUUUAACGUUCAUUACCUAAUGAUGAACUGAAAUGCUUUUUAAAAUAAAUGCAUACAAACUUUGAGAUACCAAAUCAUUACCAUAACAUACCAUGUGACAUUAAAAUUGUGAAUACAUUGGAUUAUUGCCUACAUACUCCAUAAAUGCGGGUGGCUCUACUUCAGGUACAACAGGCUGAAAAAAUACUAGUCGCAGUUAAGGAAAAAUGCAAUAGGCUUGGCAGGUUAACUACAAGAGGACGUGACUUUGCUACUAUUUUGUAUUAAAAUGUAUUUAUUUGUAACUUGAAACUUGGGGUGAACUUUUGUUAAUGAUUUGGGAACCUCAGACUUUGUUUUUUAACAAAAAUAUUUCAGUUCAGUGCUGAUGCUAGUAAAGGGAUGUGAGAUUAUUCCAAUUUAUCAAAUUACGAUUCAUAAUGUUGUAAACUAUCCAGAACAGGAUGAUAGAAAACGUACUUAAAAUAUAGUCUACCGAUGAUCAGUGAUCUGUGGACAUAUUCCCAGAGACUACUCGUAACUGUUGAUAGUGGGGGGACACAAUGUAAAGGUUCUGGUGGUAUGCAGCGGGGUUCAGAGCAGAGCAUAUAAAUCCUGGCAGAAAUCUGAAGGGGCAUGUGACCCUGUGUGCUCCUUCCACCACAUUACCUCUGGGUCUGCAGAAUAAAAUAUAGUGAGAAUCAAGCUGUGGGGAACUGGGAGGGGGAGGAGAUACAGUCCAUGACAGUACUUCUCUCUUAUGAAGUGGUCUACAAGUUGAAAUGGGCUAGAUGAUCAUUAUAAUAUACAGGUUUUAUUUAGAAUUAAAUUAGUGAUUCAUAUCCAGCAAGUCACAAUGGUAUAAUUGAGAUAAAAUUGUAUUUUUUUUUAAAAAAGGCUUGUCUCCUACUAUGAAUAUGAAGAUUUCCACUGAAAAUUAUUCUAGCUUGAAUGUAAUUUAAAAUCCCUGCUUUGUUUUAUUCGGAAGCUUUAUACAGGAUUUCUAGUAGGAUUUUAGGAAGAGUUGGGAGUAACUCUCCAAAUACGAGUGGUAAAAUAUAAUAUGUAGGAUAGCAUUUAAAAUAUAUAUCUAUGCCCUACAUUCUUAAAAUUGUUUGCAGGACCUGGUGCUGCUGUACUUACACAUUAUGAUCUAGUCCGGGGUGGCCAACCUGUGGCUCCGGAGCCACAUGUGGCUCUUCAGAAGUUAAUAUGCGGCUCCUUGUAUAGGCACCGACUCUGAGGCUGUAGCUACAGCUGCCAGCUUUCCAGUGUGCCGGGGGGUACUCACUGCUCAACCCCUGGCUUUGCCACAAGUCCUGCCCCCACUCCACCCCUUCCUGCCGCCUCCCCUCAGCCUACCGUGCCCUCGCUCCUUGCCCCCAGAGCCUCCUGCAUACCACGAAACAGCUGAUUGGGAGGUGCGAGGAGGGAGGUGCUGAUCGGUGGGGCUGCCGGAGGGUGAGAGGCGCUGGGAACGGGGGUGGGGGAGCCUAUGGGGGGCUGCUGACAUAUUAUUGUGGCUCUUUGGCAAUGUACAUUGAUAAAUUCUGGCUCCUUCUCAGGCUCAGGUUGGCCACCCCUGAUCUAGUCCAAAGUCCAUUGAAGUCAAUGAAAAGACUCCCAUUGGGUGAUAUCAACAGACUUUGAAUCAGAUCUUUAUUUCAUAGGGAGUCAUAAAUAAGGGGCCUGACACUGAUUUGUAAUUCCCUUCCCAUUUACACUGGUAUAAUUGUAUUGACCUCAGUGGAUAUAAUCCUGAUUUACACUGAUAUAAGAAGAUUCGUGUGAGGCUCAAAGACUGCAAAUUUGGAUAUUUAGAAUAUUUCAGCAGCAGUCAGCUAAUGUUCAAUCCCAAUCAGUUUCCCUUUGCAGCUGGCCCUGUAUGGAAAAGUGCCUCUGAUGGAGAGCUGCUUUGGUGGUUACUACUAAUGAUAAUUCACCAUCCAAGACACAACCACGUAGGUAUUAGACAGCUAUUGGAAAGUUUGCCCAGGGGCAUUUUUGCAUGCAAGGUGGCCAUUAGUGUAUGAUGCAGCACUUUGGUAGAAACAGGUCUUAUACCAGUUACUAUUUUGUUUAGAAAUGUUUCACUCUUUUAAGUCUUGCACUUUCACAGGAUUUUAUUUAAAAAAAAAAAAAAAAAAAUCUGUCCUAAAUACAAAAUUCUUUCUGUAUAUGAUAAGAUCUAGGCCUGCAAACCUUUCCUGCUGUGGGCAGUCCUUACUCAUGCACUCCCUUUGCAAUCAGUAGAGUUACUUGUUUGCGUACUCCCAGGAGGAAGGGUUUGCAGGGCUAUGCCAUUAAAACUUUUUUUUUCUCUUGUUUAAAAAAAAAUUUAAGUAUUUUAAGUGAUUAUUAAUUUCACUGUUUUGGGGGAGAACCUUGCCUUUUUCUUUUUAUAUGUGUAUAUAUAAAGACUAUAGCUAAACUUUACCAGUUUGCAAAUUAUUGUUCUACAGAAUUUUUUUUGUAGUUACCCAGAGUUUUACUGUAUUAAGUGCUACUCAGUAGAGUUACUGAGAUCCUCUGACCUCUGUUGUGCAGAUAAAUAUUAAAAUGAAAUGUUUGCCUUUAUUACCAGAA